GAAGUGAGGACUUCCGGCGCGUCGCGCCGUGUGUUCCGCACCGGAAGCGCGCUUCCAGCGGCCCUGGCAACAGUCGCCCCCCUCCCGUCCCCCACUCCUCCUGUGUCUCCAAGAAAAAUUUGGCCUCUGCUCGGCCACCACCCAGGAUCUGCAAGCUGCGCGCCCACGAGCCCCACCAGCCCAUUAGGAGAAAAGUUACUGUUCAGUCCGUGAAGGCUUGUGCCAUGAAAGAGUGGGAGACAUUCUCAGGGAGUUUCGGCACCCAUUUGGAUUUUCACAAUCAGAGAUGGCAGCGAAGAAGGCAUCAACGUUGAAAGCUACCAGGCCUUGGUAUUGUCAUCCGGUAUAUGCAAGAUAUUGGCAACAUUAUCAUCAAGCAAUGGCUUGGAUGCACAGCCACCAGAAUGCCUACAGGAAGGCCAUGGAAUCUUAUUUCAGUGUUCCAUGGUACUUCCCUCCUGUACUUCUUCCCCAAAGCUCUUACGAUAUCCAAGCUGCAUAUCCUCAGGCUUUCUAUGACAAUCAUGUGUCCUGGCAGGACUCCCCCUGUAAUUCUUCACAUUUCAGAGGGUCUGGGCAGAAUCCACAUGACAGCAAUAGGAUCCAGGCAUCCACAAGAGAAGACCAAGACCAAGCUUUGUCCAAAGAGGAAGAGACGGAGACCGAGUCAGAUGCAGAAAUAGAAUGUGACCUGAGCAACAUGGAAAUCACCGAAGAGCUCCGCCAAUACUUUGCAGAGACCGAGAGGCACAGAGAAGAACGACGGAGGCAGCAGCAGCUGGAUGCCAAGCGCCUAGAGAGCUAUGUGAACGCUGACCACGACCUGUACUGCAACAUCCCCCGGUCGGUAGAGGCCCCAACUGAGAGGCCAGGUGAGGAGACUGAAGCGCAGAGAAAUUAACCAACAAAACCAAGUUCAUUUCAAGUGAUGGAUAUUCUGACUCCCAACUUUACUGCCAUUAGCUGCUCCAGCAUGCUGAAAUCUGGCUCUAACAACCACAUUCACAGGAAGUGGAAGAACUGAGGCUAAGGCAAUGAGAAGAAGGAACUUAUUCCAGAGACGCUGAAGAAAUAGACAUCCCAUGGUUUGGUGACUUGGGCCAGGUGAUGAACCAGCCUAGGAUGGCUCAGAUGUCUGUCUGGGAUGGAAGUCAUAGUCACUGAGGUGUGGUGGCAUAUACUUCGAGUCCUAGCUACUUGGGGGACUGAGGUGGGACAAUCACCUGAAUUUGGGAGGUCAAGCUGCAGAGAGCCGUGAUUGCACCAUUGCACUCCAGCCAAAGUGACAGCGCAAGACUCCAUCUGGAAAAAAAAGGAAUCUCUGCUCUGUGGAAAGAAAAGUAAUAAGAAGACUACGAAUCUCUAUGAUCAGGGGAUGGUAGGAAAACCUGAAGAGUGAUGUGCAGAUUAAUAGUGAGUGUCAACUUGAUUGGAUUGAAGGAUAAAAAGUAUUGUUCAUGGGUAUGUCUGUGAGGGUGUUGCCAAGGGGAGAUUGACAUUUGUGUCAGUGGACCAGGAGAGGCAGACUUGCCCUCAAUUUGGGUGGGCACCGUCUAAUCAGCUGCCAGCACAGCUAGGAUAAAAGCAGGCAGAAGAACAGGAAAGAACUAGACUGGUUGAGUCUUCCAGCCUUCAUCUUUCUCCCAUACUGGAUGCUUCCUGCCCUCAAACAUCAGACUCCAAGUUCUUCAGCUUUCGGACUCUUGGACUUAAACCAGUGGUUUGCCAGGGGCUCUCAGGCCUUUGGCCACAGCCUGAAGGCCGCACUGUCAGCUUCCCUACUUUUGAGGUUUUGGGACUCAAACUGAUCCAUCACUGGCUUCCUCGUUCCUCAGCUUACAGACAGCCUGUUGUGGGAUGUCACCUUGUGAUUGUGUGAGUCAAUUCUCCUUAAUAAACUCCUUUUCAUAUACA
Callithrix jacchus (white-tufted-ear marmoset) is the source of this 1914-nucleotide non-coding RNA. NCBI's taxonomy places the organism in Eukaryota, Metazoa, Chordata, Mammalia, Primates, Cebidae. The record is from RefSeq and is a predicted model, not a curated record.